Molecule: ribosomal RNA, 301 nt
Filed under: uncultured bacterium
Lineage: Bacteria
Description: partial 16S ribosomal RNA
Rfam family: Bacterial small subunit ribosomal RNA
Source: RNAcentral
CAGUCGCCGCGGGAAUACGAAGGGUGCAAGCGUUACUCGGAAUUACUGGGCGUAAAGCGUGCGUAGGCGGUUUGUUAAGUCUGCUGUGAAAUCCCCGGGCUCAACCUGGGAAUGGCAGUGGAUACUGGCAAGCUAGAGUGUGUCAGAGGAUGGUGGAAUUCCCGGUGUAGCGGUGAAAUGCGUAGAGAUCGGGAGGAACAUCAGUGGCGAAGGCGGCCAUCUGGGACAACACUGACGCUGAGGCACGAAAGCGUGGGGAGCAAACAGGAUUAGAUACCCGAGUAGUCCCUGUCUCUUAUAU